CAUUUAAAUACUGAACCUAAUAUUUUGAAUAGUUGCAUUAUAUUGAUUAUAAAACUGUUCCGAGGGAAACUGCAAUUUAUUUUACAGUUAAAGCGAUCUCUGGCUGCAAAAGCUUUUAAAACCCCUGCGAUAAAUAACAAGCCAAACAAUUCAAGGUAUAGAUAACAAGCUAAAAACUAAAUUACAUAAUCUAUAUGGUGAGUUAAAUAGAUUUUAAUCCAGAACUUUAACCAUAUUUGUGUAGAGGAAAAAAAGUUAUUGAUUAUUCAAAUUUAAUUUCCACUCUAAUGAGCAUAUUAUAACACAGCUACACUAUAAUGCUUUUGAGAGACUCGCCCAGAUCAUUUAACAAAAAAGCAAGGCUGAAUCACACCACAAAUUAAGUUCAUGAUUAUUCUGACUGUUAGGAUUAUGAUGAAGAAUGUGGAUUAAAUGUCUUACCAGUGACUCGGACAUGGAUUGAGUUCAUUCCUGAUCCUGUGACAUUCUUUGGAAGAUAUCUUGUAAAUGAGUACACGCAACUGUAGGUCCCAGAGUCCCGUAAUGAAAUAUUCCUCAAAGUGAAGGUGUGCUCAUCUUUAUUUACAAGUAGUUCUAAUCUCUCUCCAACACCAUUUUUACACAAAUACAUGUGAAUUUCUGUAUUUGAGCUCUGAAUGUUAGAGAUGAGACACUUUAACUCUAAAUUUUCACCAACUUUUGCUGUGGAGGGUCCAAAAAUUUGUGCUGGAAAAAUCUCCAAAGCAUCACCUGUUGACCAAAAAUAAUACAAAAAAGUGAC
Ictalurus punctatus (channel catfish) is the source of this 781-nucleotide long non-coding RNA. The record is from Ensembl. Lineage: Eukaryota; Metazoa; Chordata; Actinopteri; Siluriformes; Ictaluridae.